This 468-nucleotide ribosomal RNA is filed under the name uncultured bacterium. Its description in RNAcentral is "partial 16S ribosomal RNA". It matches the Rfam family "Bacterial small subunit ribosomal RNA", at positions 28 to 507 of the family's 1533-position model. The record is from RNAcentral.
GACGAACGCUGGCGGCGUGCUUAACACAUGCAAGUCGAACGGAAAGGCCCUGCUUUUGUGGGGUGCUCGAGUGGCGAACGGGUGAGUAACACGUGAGUAACCUGCCCUUGACUUUGGGAUAACUUCAGGAAACUGGGGCUAAUACCGGAUAGGAGCUCCUGCUGCAUGGUGGGGGUUGGAAAGUUUCGGCGGUUGGGGAUGGACUCGCGGCUUAUCAGCUUGUUGGUGGGGUAGUGGCUUACCAAGGCUUUGACGGGUAGCCGGCCUGAGAGGGUGACCGGCCACAUUGGGAUUGAGAUACGGCCCAGACUCCUACGGGAGGCAGCAGUGGGGAAGAUUGCACAAUGGGCGGAAGCCUGAUGCAGCAACGCCGCGUGCGGGAUGACGGCCUUCGGGUUGUAAACCGCUUUCGCCUGUGACGAAGCGUGAGUGACGGUAAUGGGUAAAGAAGCACCGGCUAACUACGUG